Molecule: ribosomal RNA, 447 nt
Filed under: uncultured bacterium
Lineage: Bacteria
Description: bacterial SSU rRNA
Rfam family: Bacterial small subunit ribosomal RNA
Source: RNAcentral
UCGGGAAUUUUGGGCAAUGGGCGAAAGCCUGACCCAGCAACGCCGCGUGAAGGAUGAAGUAUUUCGGUAUGUAAACUUCGAAAGAAUAGGAAGAAUAAAUGACGGUACUAUUUAUAAGGUCCGGCUAACUACGUGCCAGCAGCCGCGGUAAUACGUAGGGUGCAAGCGUUAACCGGAAUUACUGGGCGUAAAGCGUGCGCAGGCGGUUAUGCAAGACAGAUGUGAAAUCCCCGGGCUCAACCUGGGAACUGCAUUUGUGACUGUAUAGCUAGAGUACGGUAGAGGGGGAUGGAAUUCCGCGUGUAGCAGUGAAAUGCGUAGAUAUGCGGAGGAACACCGAUGGCGAAGGCAAUCCCCUGGACCUGUACUGACGCUCAUGCACGAAAGCGUGGGGAGCAAACAGGAUUAGAUACCCAAGUAGUCCCUGAGCGGGCUGGCAAGGCGCAU